UUUAUGGAGAGUUUGAUCCUGGCUCAGGAUGAACGCUGGCGGCGUGCCUAAUACAUGCAAGUCGAGCGAACGGACGAGAAGCUUGCUUCUCUGAUGUUAGCGGCGGACGGGUGAGUAACACGUGGAUAACCUACCUAUAAGACUGGGAUAACUUCGGGAAACCGGAGCUAAUACCGGAUAAUAUUUUGAACCGCAUGGUUCAAAAGUGAAAGACGGUCUUGCUGUCACUUAUAGAUGGAUCCGCGCUGCAUUAGCUAGUUGGUAAGGUAACGGCUUACCAAGGCAACGAUGCAUAGCCGACCUGAGAGGGUGAUCGGCCACACUGGAACUGAGACACGGUCCAGACUCCUACGGGAGGCAGCAGUAGGGAAUCUUCCGCAAUGGGCGAAAGCCUGACGGAGCAACGCCGCGUGAGUGAUGAAGGUCUUCGGAUCGUAAAACUCUGUUAUUAGGGAAGAACAUAUGUGUAAGUAACUGUGCACAUCUUGACGGUACCUAAUCAGAAAGCCACGGCUAACUACGUGCCAGCAGCCGCGGUAAUACGUAGGUGGCAAGCGUUAUCCGGAAUUAUUGGGCGUAAAGCGCGCGUAGGCGGUUUUUUAAGUCUGAUGUGAAAGCCCACGGCUCAACCGUGGAGGGUCAUUGGAAACUGGAAAACUUGAGUGCAGAAGAGGAAAGUGGAAUUCCAUGUGUAGCGGUGAAAUGCGCAGAGAUAUGGAGGAACACCAGUGGCGAAGGCGACUUUCUGGUCUGUAACUGACGCUGAUGUGCGAAAGCGUGGGGAUCAAACAGGAUUAGAUACCCUGGUAGUCCACGCCGUAAACGAUGAGUGCUAAGUGUUAGGGGUUUCCGCCCCUUAGUGCUGCAGCUAACGCAUUAAGCACUCCGCCUGGGGAGUACGACCGCAAGGUUGAAACUCAAAGGAAUUGACGGGGACCCGCACAAGCGGUGGAGCAUGUGGUUUAAUUCGAAGCAACGCGAAGAACCUUACCAAAUCUUGACAUCCUUUGACAACUCUAGAGAUAGAGCCUUCCUCUUCGGGGGACAAAGUGACAGGUGGUGCAUGGUUGUCGUCAGCUCGUGUCGUGAGAUGUUGGGUUAAGUCCCGCAACGAGCGCAACCCUUAAGCUUAGUUGCCAUCAUUAAGUUGGGCACUCUAAGUUGACUGCCGGUGACAAACCGGAGGAAGGUGGGGAUGACGUCAAAUCAUCAUGCCCCUUAUGAUUUGGGCUACACACGUGCUACAAUGGACAAUACAAAGGGCAGCGAAACCGCGAGGUCAAGCAAAUCCCAUAAAGUUGUUCUCAGUUCGGAUUGUAGUCUGCAACUCGACUACAUGAAGCUGGAAUCGCUAGUAAUCGUAGAUCAGCAUGCUACGGUGAAUACGUUCCCGGGUCUUGUACACACCGCCCGUCACACCACGAGAGUUUGUAACACCCGAAGCCGGUGGAGUAACCUUUUAGGAGCUAGCCGUCGAAGGUGGGACAAAUGAUUGGGGUGAAGUCGUAACAAGGUAGCCGUAUCGGAAGGUGCGGCUGGAUCACCUCCUUU
RNAcentral lists this ribosomal RNA (1551 nucleotides) under Staphylococcus aureus. Its description in RNAcentral is "16S ribosomal RNA". It matches the Rfam family "Bacterial small subunit ribosomal RNA". Lineage: Bacteria; Bacillati; Bacillota; Bacilli; Caryophanales; Staphylococcaceae. The record is from RNAcentral.